AUGCUGUCACUCUUCCAAGCAUUACCUCUUGCUGUCCUUGAAGCCUAUUGUGUGUAUGGUGCAGGUUGUCUAGAGCAACCUCAACUUUCCAGUACUAAAAGGCUGUCAAAAACAGCCCCCUGGAAUGUGUGGUAUCUUGUGACAAUUUCUACGAUGUCCGUAUAUUGGUAUCAGGAAAGCCCUGGUCAAGUCCUGCAACCCCUGCUGCACGUUUCAUCUGACAACACUGUCAGGAUGGAGUCAGGCGUUCCGAUCGGCAAAUUUAAGGUAGAUGAGAUACCUGAACCUUCUAUGUCCACACUCACCACUCACAAUGUAGGGACAGAAGACUCGGCCACCUACUACUGUGCCUUCUGGGAGGUGCACAGUGAAUUAUCAAACUGGAUCAAGAAAUUUGGAAAAGGAACUAAGCUCAUAGUAACUCCAUCUGAUGCACGCCUUCCUGCAGACAUUUCCCCCAAGCCCACCAUUUUUCUUCCAUCAAUUGCUGAAAUAAACUACCAUAAGGCUGGAACAUAUCUUUGUCUUCUUGAGAAAUUCUUCCCUGAUGUUAUCAAGGUGUAUUGGAAAGAAAAGAACAGGGAUACAAUCCUGCAAUCCCAGCAGGGAAAUACCAUGAAGACUGAUAACACUUACAUGAAAUUCAGCUGGCUGACCGUGACUGGAAAGUCAAUGGAUAAAGAACACGAAUUCAUUGUCCAACACGAGAAUAACAAAGGAGGGGUUGACCAAGAGAUUCUUUUUCCUUCAGUCAACAAAGUUGUCACCUCAAUGGCCACUACUACUGGUCCUACAGAGGCUUCUCCGACAGAGGAGAGCAUUGCCACUACUCUUGAUUCUACAAUAGUUUCCCCAACAGAGGAAAGUGAGCUCUCUGCUCUUAAUUACACAAAACCUUGUCUGAAAGAUGAAAGCGACACCCUGCGGCUGCAGCUCACCAACACCUCUGCCUAUUACACCUACCUCGUGUUCCUUCUCGUGAGCGCAGUCUACCUUGCCACCGUCGCCUUGUGUGUGUUAAGGAGAACAGCUGUCUGGGGCAAUGGAAAGAGUUCCUAACAGAUGGUGACCCAAGAAAUCAACUUUCCUCCAUUGUUUAUACACCCUACAACUUUCUGCCCAGGAUCUAGUCGGACUUUCUCUCUGGGUUUGGGUUAUUUCAGUUCACAUGUGUACUUUUCUGUUAUGUCAUUAUUGUGUACUGGUUUUUCAAAUCACUGGACAAACAGAAAAUCCUACUCUGUAACGAUGCUGAAUACUGCCAUUACUCAGGGGCAGGGCCAAGCGGUAGUCCUUUAGCACCACUCUCUCCAUGAUCCCCAUCAGCUCCUCCAACAACCCGAAUAACCAUGCCUUCUGAGUACAGACAACAUGUGGCUCUAGUCACGUCGCUUAGGACCUUUUAACCAGAACCGCCUUGAAGCCCUCCAUUUUACACACCCUAAUCCAACAUCAUUGUUACUUAAAUUCUAUAUAUUUUUUUUUCAUAAUAGGAGCAAUAAAAAUAUCAAAAGUC
Molecule: non-coding RNA, 1516 nt
Organism: Equus caballus (horse)
Lineage: Eukaryota; Metazoa; Chordata; Mammalia; Perissodactyla; Equidae
Source: the annotation of a RefSeq genome assembly